RNAcentral lists this small nucleolar RNA (110 nucleotides) under Calocera cornea HHB12733. The record is from RNAcentral. Lineage: Eukaryota; Fungi; Basidiomycota; Dacrymycetes; Dacrymycetales; Dacrymycetaceae.
UACGGAUGAAUACUCUAGAUGACGAGUCCGACGUUGAUAAAGCGCAGUCGGUCAUCGCCUGCGCUGGCGUUUGAUGAUACCCCUUAAAUACCAUUCAUGCUUUUCUGAUC